RNAcentral lists this ribosomal RNA (1515 nucleotides) under uncultured bacterium. RNAcentral describes it as "bacterial SSU rRNA". It matches the Rfam family "Bacterial small subunit ribosomal RNA". The record is from RNAcentral.
AGAGUUUGAUCCUGGCUCAGGCUAAACGCUGGCGGCGUGCUUAACACAUGCAAGUCGAACGGACUGAUGAGAGAGCUUGCUCUUUCUGAAAGUUAGUGGCGGACGGGUGAGUAACGCGUGGGAAACCUGCCUUACACUGGGGGAUAACAGAUGGAAACGCCUGUUAAUACCGCAUAAGCGCACGGUGCUGCAUGGCACCGUGUGAAAAACUCCGGUGGUGUAAGAUGGUCCCGCGUCUGAUUAGCUAGUUGGUGAGGUAACGGCCCACCAAGGCGACGAUCAGUAGCCGGCCUGAGAGGGCGUACGGCCACAUUGGGACUGGGACACGGCCCAGACUCCUACGGGAGGCAGCAGUGGGGAAUAUUGCACAAUGGAGGAAACUCUGAUGCAGCGACGCCGCGUGAGUGAAGAAGUAUCUCGGUAUGUAAAACUCUAUCAGCAGGGAAGAUAAUGACGGUACCUGACUAAGAAGCACCGGCUAAAUACGUGCCAGCAGCCGCGGUAAUACGUAUGGUGCAAGCGUUAUCCGGAUUUACUGGGUGUAAAGGGUGCGUAGGUGGUAUGGCAAGUCAGAUGUGAAAGCACGGGGCUCAACCCCGUGACUGCAUUUGAAACUGUCAAACUAGAGUGCAGGAGAGGAAAGUGGAAUUCCUAGUGUAGCGGUGAAAUGCGUAGAUAUUAGGAAGAACACCAGUGGCGAAGGCGGCUUUCUGGACUGUAACUGACACUGAGGCACGAAAGCGUGGGGAGCAAACAGGAUUAGAUACCCUGGUAGUCCACGCUGUAAACGAUGAAUACUAGGUGUCGGAGGGUUAUACCUUCGGUGCCGUCGCAAACGCAUUAAGUAUUCCACCUGGGGAGUACGUUCGCAAGAAUAAAACUCAAAGGAAUUGACGGGGACCCGCACAAGCGGUGGAGCAUGUGGUUUAAUUCGAAGCAACGCGAAGAACCUUACCAGAUCUUGACAUCGGCAUGACCGGUGUUUCAAUGACACUUUUCCUUCGGGACAUGCUAGACAGGUGGUGCAUGGUUGUCGUCAGCUCGUGUCGUGAGAUGUUGGGUUAAGUCCCGCAACGAGCGCAACCCCUAUCUUUAGUAGCCAGCAAGUCAAGUUGGGCACUCUGGAGAGACUGCCCGGGAUAACCGGGAGGAAGAUGGGGAUGACGUCAAAUCAUCAUGCCCCUUACGAUCUGGGCUACACACGUGCUACAAUGGCGGAUACAAAGGGAUGCAAAGCCGUGAGGCCAAGCGAACCCCAAAAAGUCCGUCUCAGUUCGGAUUGUAGUCUGCAACUCGACUACAUGAAGCUGGAAUCGCUAGUAAUCGCGAAUCAGAACGUCGCGGUGAAUACGUUCCCGGGUCUUGUACACACCGCCCGUCACACCAUGGGAGCUGGAAAUGCCCGAAAUCAGUGAUCUAACCUUUAUGGAGGAAGCUGCUGAAGGCAGGUCUGGUAACUGGGGUGAAGUCGUAACAAGGUAGCCGUAUCGGAAGGUGCGGCUGGAUCACCUCCUU